AGAAAGCAUAUGAGAAUUACUGGGUCACUGCCUACUGGAGUUGUGAGAAGAGGGCCACAGUCCUCCAGACCCCAGAAUGGUAGAUCCACCGACAGCUUGCACUGUAUUCCUGGAAAAGCCUCAGACGUUCAACGCCAGCCUGUGAAAGCAGCCAGGAGUGGGGCUGUACCCUGCAAAGCCACAGAGGCAGAGCUGCCCAAGGCCAUGGGAGCCCACCUCUUGCCUCAGCGUGACCUAAAUCACUUCUCCUUUCUGCCGUUAUGUGAAGAAGGUUAUGUUUGCUUCCCCUUCUGCCAUGAUUGUAAGUUUCCUGAGGCCUUCCCACCCACGCAGAACUGUGAG
RNAcentral lists this long non-coding RNA (342 nucleotides) under Homo sapiens (human). RNAcentral's name for it is "HSALNT0338316". Lineage: Eukaryota; Metazoa; Chordata; Mammalia; Primates; Hominidae. The record is from RNAcentral.